Molecule: long non-coding RNA, 1612 nt
Filed under: Coturnix japonica (Japanese quail)
Lineage: Eukaryota; Metazoa; Chordata; Aves; Galliformes; Phasianidae
Description: lncRNA (ENSCJPG00005002182.1)
Source: RNAcentral
GAUUCCCUUGUGGAAGAAGGGGGAGGGUGAAGGAGGCCGAGGGCCCUUUUCUCGGGGCCAGCUCGUCUGUGCCCUCUUGCUGGCCGGAGAGAAGGGCUGCCCGCUGGGCACAGGGAGUGCCUUGUAGCUCCCGUGCCGUGCCCUGCCCUCCAGCCCCCUCCUCAUCCUAUGUGGAACACCAGUGCCAGCAGUGCGGCCGCCAUUUUAGAACCCUCUCCACGUCACCUUGGUCACCGCUGCCGCGCGCAACGCACUCGCCUCUGAGAGCUCUGGACGUUGACAGCCAUGUCGGAAGCCAAGAGAGCAAGGCUGGAGGAUUCCCACGAUUUAGGUGGGAAGAUGGAGCCGGGGACUGCAGGGUCGAAGAGGAGGAGGAGGGGGCCCGCCAUGACCAUCAGGUGGCAGACAGGCAAGCGAGCCCGUUCCCAUCGCGCCUGGACCAGCUGCAUGACCACCUCCGUGGAGCCCAUGGAGGUGGAUCCACCUGAGGCACAGCUGGCCUGGCACCACACCACCGUGCCAGGCCCCACAUCCUUACCAUCUCAGCUCCGCCAUCACUGGUCCAGGCGCUGGGCUCCUUACCGUCUGCGCGGCCCCCGCCCCCGGCAUUAGCCGGGUGGCUUCAUUUAACAUCAGCUCCUCCUUUGAGACCUCUGCGGGCCCCCGGUUCCAUCUUAACCCUAUUUCUAUUGUGGAUUUUAGUGUUAAGUUUAGUUGUAGUUUUAGGAGUAGGUUAUUGUUUGCGUUUUUUAGUUAGGAGUAGGUUAUUGUUCACGUUUUAGUGUUAGUAGAUGAUUGUUCCUGUUUUAGAGCUAGUUGUAGGUUACUGUUCAUGUUUUAGUGUUAGGUGUAGGUUUCUGUUCCUGUUUUAGAGUUAGGCAUAGGUUACUGUUCGUACUUAGAGUUAGGUGGGUUCCUACCAGCAGCUGGCAGCAAACAGCGCUCACUCGGUAAGCACACGUCUGCUUUCUCACCCAAUGCCAUGAGUGAGGAGGUCUGUGACAUCUCCGAGGGAUGGGAUUUGCAUCUUGUGACUUUUCUGUUGCAGAUUGUCGAGGAGCAGAGCGUGAGUGGCUGUGAAAUGCAAUUGGGCUUCAUGGAAACAGUCCGGAGCUGUGUCUGGAGCUUCCUGCGUGGCCAUUGUAAGGUAGGUGUGCCUUACUGUAAGCGUGUGCUGAAGCAGUGUUGGUUAAGCACAGCUCACUCCUCUGUCUGCAACAGAUGGGCUUUCUGCGCGCUUUAUUGCUGUGGCCGGCGUUGAACAGCACAGCAGCAGCGAGGCCUCGAACAUGUCCACAACCAGGUACGUGAAUGUGAGUAAAUUUAGCUGUGUGAAUGAUGUUAUUGUUCAUAUUAGUAAGGCAGUAUUCACAUGUGUGUGAUGGAGCUCAGGGAUAGGUUUAUUCUUGCCUGGUAAAUUUUCCCUUCUUUGACACCCACCCGUCCUCUUGCUUCUCUUCCCCUCACCUGUAAGUGCAGCAAUACUGAAGGCUGAGGGCUCUUCUCCGAGGCAGGCGCUAAAGGGCAAUUGAAAUGCAAGUUUGUUGUCCCUCUUUGUUCUUGGGUCGGUAGCCCAAGGUGACCAAGCUUCAGAGCACUUCUCUAAGUCAGC